This 450-nucleotide ribosomal RNA is filed under the name uncultured bacterium. RNAcentral's name for it is "bacterial SSU rRNA". It matches the Rfam family "Bacterial small subunit ribosomal RNA", at positions 955 to 1406 of the family's 1533-position model. The record is from RNAcentral.
CGCAACGCGAAGAACCUUACCCAGGCUCGAACGGUAGAUGACAUCUUACGAAAGUAGGCUCCCGCAAGGGCAUCUAUCGAGGUGCUGCAUGGCUGUCGUCAGCUCGUGUCGUGAGAUGUUGGGUUAAGUCCCGCAACGAGCGCAACCCUUGUCUUCUGUUGCCAUCAGGUCAAGCUGGGCACUCUGAAGAGACUGCCGGUGACAAACCGGAGGAAGGUGGGGAUGACGUCAAGUCAGCAUGGCCUUUAUGUCUGGGGCCACACACGUGCUACAAUGGCAGGUACAAACCGUCGCGAGACCGCAAGGUGGAGCUAAUCGGAGAAAGCCUGUCUCAGUUCGGAUUGUCGGCUGCAACUCGCCGGCAUGAAGUUGGAAUCGCUAGUAAUCGCGGAUCAGCACGCCGCGGUGAAUACGUUCCCGGGCCUUGUACACACCGCCCGUCACAUCACG